Molecule: ribosomal RNA, 440 nt
Filed under: uncultured bacterium
Lineage: Bacteria
Description: partial 16S ribosomal RNA
Rfam family: Bacterial small subunit ribosomal RNA
Source: RNAcentral
CCUACGGGGAGCAGCAGUGGGGGAUAUUGCACAAUGGGGGAAACCCUGAUGCAGCGACGCCGCGUGUGGGAAGACGGUCUUCUGGAUUGUAAACCACUGUCCCCAGGGACGAAAAUGACGGUACCUGGGGAGGACGCUCCGGCUAACUACGUGCCAGCAGCCGCGGUAAUACGUAGGGAGCAAGCGUUGUCCGGAAUUACUGGGGGUAAAGGGAGCGUAGGCGGGGAUGCAAGUUGGGUGUCAAAACUACCGGCUCAACCGAUAGUCGCACUCAAAACUGCAACUCUUGAGUGAAGUAGAGGCAGGCGGAAUUCCUAGUGUAGCGGUGAAAUGCGUAGAUAUUAGGAGGAACACCAGUGGCGAAGGCGGCCUGCUGGGCUUUUACUGACGCUGAGGCUCGAAAGUGUGGGGAGCAAACAGGAUUAGAUACCCCAGUAGUC